GGAGCUUUAGUUUAAUUAAAACGUCUGUGUUGCAAGCAGAGGAUGUAGUGUCUGCAAGUUCUA
This 63-nucleotide transfer RNA is filed under the name Calamaria septentrionalis (Hong Kong dwarf snake). RNAcentral's name for it is "tRNA-Ala". The record is from RNAcentral. Lineage: Eukaryota; Metazoa; Chordata; Lepidosauria; Squamata; Calamariidae.